RNAcentral lists this ribosomal RNA (174 nucleotides) under uncultured eukaryote. RNAcentral describes it as "partial large subunit ribosomal RNA". The record is from RNAcentral.
GAAACAAGUAAGGCAGGAAAGCGAAUAUGCAAUUCAACGUUAGACAUUCAGGAAUGGUAGCUGUCCUUUUGGCCAGUUGUUUUAUCGUUCCUUCGUUUGCUCAAACGACGCCACAAUCCGGCGCGUCCGCCGACAACACGAAGGUCAAUAAGCGAGACCGAUAGCGCACAAGUA